ACUGUGCCGGGAGGCAACGAUGCUCGUCUUCGAUUCGGUCACCUCAUGAGACGAGUGGAGCCAGUGGUGAGACCGCCCCGAGGGAGG
Molecule: non-coding RNA, 87 nt
Filed under: Deinococcus soli (ex Cha et al. 2016)
Lineage: Bacteria; Thermotogati; Deinococcota; Deinococci; Deinococcales; Deinococcaceae
Description: Deinococcus soli c-di-GMP sequence
Rfam family: c-di-GMP-II-GAG riboswitch aptamer
Source: Rfam by way of RNAcentral